Molecule: transfer RNA, 77 nt
Filed under: Pedobacter psychroterrae
Lineage: Bacteria; Pseudomonadati; Bacteroidota; Sphingobacteriia; Sphingobacteriales; Sphingobacteriaceae
Description: Pedobacter sp. RP-1-14 tRNA-His
Rfam family: tRNA
About the family: Transfer RNA (tRNA) molecules are approximately 80 nucleotides in length. Their secondary structure includes four short double-helical elements and three loops (D, anti-codon, and T loops).
Source: RNAcentral
GUGGUUUUAGCUCAGUUGGUUAGAGCAUCGGUUUGUGGUACCGAGGGUCGUGGGUUCGAGCCCCAUAUUCCACCCCG